GCCAGGCGUGGUGGCACACGCCUGUAGUCCCAGCUACUUGGGAGGCUGAGGCAAGAGAAUCGCUUGAACCCAGGAGGUGGAAGUUGCAGUGAGCCAAGAUGGCACCACUGCACUCCAGCCUGGGUAACAGAGUGAGACCCUGUCUCAA
Molecule: unclassified non-coding RNA, 148 nt
Organism: Macaca fascicularis (crab-eating macaque)
Lineage: Eukaryota; Metazoa; Chordata; Mammalia; Primates; Cercopithecidae
Rfam family: Metazoan signal recognition particle RNA
About the family: The signal recognition particle (SRP) is a universally conserved ribonucleoprotein.
Source: Ensembl